GAUACUGAAAGAAUCAUUGAGCGCCUUCACCUAGCUGCUGCUGAAAAUGAGACUAUGAAGGAGUCCUUUCUGGAUGAAGCAGGAUCCGGGUUGCACCUUGAAAAUCAGAUCUGCGAGACAGCUUUUGGAAAUGAUGGCAGAACAGAAGCUGCAAAUGUAAAAGAAGAGGUGAGGCUGCGCUGAACCCCCUCCCCAUGCACACAAGCACAUGCACAAACCAUACACUGGAAACCUAAUAGCCUUCCAGCUUAAAAGGGCAAAAAGAAAACUACACUUUCAUUGAAAACCCUAACUCUUUCUAAGAUUCAUGCAGACAAGAUCUGUGAGAUGCCAAACAAUGUUGCACAUAUUUUCUAGCAAUGACUUCUUGAAAAUAAUGAUGCUUCUUACAUAACAGGUUUGGUGUUGAUCCAAAUCACUAAACCUAGCUUCAAGCUUUGGUGACAGCCAAAAUCAUCAACACCAAAUCACUUCUUGAAAAUGAAACAACGAUCAAGAUAACUUGGAAUUAUGUAAUGAGCAAGAACAUGCUUUACUUCAACCAUUUUUGGAUCUACAAAAAAAUUAAAGGACAGAAAAACCUUAAGAGUCUGUUUUUCAGAACACUAAAUUUUCCUUAACAUUUCUCAUUCUUUUGAAGAACAAAUGAAGCAUAAAUAUCUGAAUGGAUUAAAAAAAUUGCAUCCGGAAUUUCAACAAACCAUUCUUAUCAGGAAAAGGAUGUAGAGAUAUCACAAAAAGAAGUCCCCGCGGAUCUUGUAGAAGCC
This 767-nucleotide long non-coding RNA is filed under the name Populus trichocarpa (black cottonwood). Its description in RNAcentral is "long non-coding RNA (PTRI_LNC000344)". The record is from RNAcentral. Lineage: Eukaryota; Viridiplantae; Streptophyta; Magnoliopsida; Malpighiales; Salicaceae.